GAAUUUUGGACAAUGGGCGAAAGCCUGAUCCAGCAAUGCCGCGUGCAGGAUGAAGGCCUUCGGGUUGUUAACUGCUUUUGUACGGAACGAAAAGCUUUGGGUUAAUACCCUGGAGUCAUGACGGUACCGUACGACUAAGCACCGGCUCACUACGUGCCAGCAGCCGGGGUCAUCCGUAGGGUGCAAGCGUUAAUCGGAAUUACUGGGCGUAAAGCAUGCGCAGGCGGUUUUGUAAGACAGAGGUGAAAGCCCCGGGCUCAACCUGGGAACUGCCUUUGUGACUGCAAGGCUAGAGUACGGCAGAGGGGGGUGGAAUUCCGCGUGUAGCAGUGAAAUGCGUAGAUAUGCGGAGGAACACCGAUGGCGAAGGCGCCCUUCCCGCUUCAACAGACGCUAAGGUACGGAAGCUUAGGUAGCAAACG
RNAcentral lists this ribosomal RNA (422 nucleotides) under uncultured bacterium. RNAcentral's name for it is "partial 16S ribosomal RNA". It matches the Rfam family "Bacterial small subunit ribosomal RNA", at positions 359 to 774 of the family's 1533-position model. The record is from RNAcentral.